GACGAACCGUGCGAACGUUAUUCGGAAUCACUGGGCUUAAAGGGCGCGUAGGCGGACCACCAAGUCAGGGGUGAAAUCCUUCGGCUCAACCGAAGAAGUGCCUUUGAUACUGGUGGUCUCGAGGGAGGCAGGGGCGUGCGGAACUUCGGGUGGAGCGGUGAAAUGCGUAGAUAUCCGAAGGAACACCGGUGGCGAAAGCGGCGCGCUGGACCUCUUCUGACGCUGAGGCGCGAAAGCCAGGGGAGCAAACGGG
This 253-nucleotide ribosomal RNA is filed under the name uncultured bacterium. RNAcentral describes it as "partial 16S ribosomal RNA". It matches the Rfam family "Bacterial small subunit ribosomal RNA", at positions 524 to 776 of the family's 1533-position model. The record is from RNAcentral.